RNAcentral lists this ribosomal RNA (319 nucleotides) under Salmonella enterica subsp. enterica serovar Typhimurium. Its description in RNAcentral is "bacterial LSU rRNA". It matches the Rfam family "Bacterial large subunit ribosomal RNA", at positions 1617 to 1917 of the family's 2925-position model. Lineage: Bacteria; Pseudomonadati; Pseudomonadota; Gammaproteobacteria; Enterobacterales; Enterobacteriaceae. The record is from RNAcentral.
GCCUCUAAGCAUCAGGUAACAUCAAAUCGUACCCCAAACCGACACAGGUGGUCAGGUAGAGAAUACCAAGGCGCUUGAGAGAACUCGGGUGAAGGAACUAGGCAAAAUGGUGCCGUAACUUCGGGAGAAGGCACGCUGACACGUAGGUGAAGUGAUUUACUCAUGGAGCUGAAGUCAGUCGAAGAUACCAGCUGGCUGCAACUGUUUAUUAAAAACACAGCACUGUGCAAACACGAAAGUGGACGUAUACGGUGUGACGCCUGCCCGGUGCCGGAAGGUUAAUUGAUGGGGUCAGCGCAAGCGAAGCUCCUGAUCGAAG